AGAGUUUGAUCAUGGCUCAGAACGAACGUUGGCGGCAUGGAUUAGGCAUGCAAGUUGAGCGUACCCAGCAAUGGGGAGCAGCGUAAGGGGCAGUAAUGCAUAGGUACCUACCCCGGGGUCGGGCAUAGCCUGUAGAGAUACAGGGUAAUUCCCGAUGACCUCGUGAGAGCAAAGUUCCGGCGCCCUGGGAGGGGCCUAUGUGAUAUUAGCUAGUUGGUGAGGUAAUGGCUCACCAAGGCGAAGAUGUCUAGCGGGUGUGAGAGCACGACCCGCGCCACUGGCACUGAGACACUGGCCAGACACCUACGGGUGGCUGCAGUCGAGGAUCUUCGGCAAUGAGCGCAAGCUUGACCGAGCGAUGCCGCGUGGAUGAUGAAGGCCUUCGGGUUGUAAAAUCCUGUCGAGGGGGAGAAAAGGAAACUUGAUCUAUCCCUGGAGGAAGGACGGGCUAAGUUCGUGCCAGCCGCCGCGGUAAUUC
This 478-nucleotide ribosomal RNA is filed under the name uncultured bacterium. Its description in RNAcentral is "bacterial SSU rRNA". It matches the Rfam family "Bacterial small subunit ribosomal RNA", at positions 8 to 526 of the family's 1533-position model. The record is from RNAcentral.